UUGCUGUCUUCGUAGGGGCGUGUGUGUACUUCACAGUUUGGGGUGCUACCUAAGAGUGCAGCCACCCCUGGCUCUGCCCACGGUUGUCAUGGUAACAUCAUCCAUACUCACCAUUGGCCCAGCAGUUUCGGCCAGAUUUCACAGAGACAAGAAAUGGGACAUGUAAAGUGUACUAAAAUAAAAGAUCCUUGCUAUCUUUUAUAUUUCACAGACAAAACUUAACGUCUGUGUAACAGAAGAAUUUCUGAACUGGACCCUCGUGCCUAAUGAAGUGUCCAGUGAGUGGAAAGAGCCAUAACUACUCAAGAGUCUGUGAAUACCAAUCUCCUUCUUCAACUGGACUCUAAAAUGGUGGCAUUGUGAGGUAGGAAGGACAAAGAAACACAAUGAGCGGUGGCUUAAUAAACGUGCCAGCAACCUGUCAUCAGCUUAAGUGCGCGCAUUCUUUCCCGCACAUGUGGUGUUUUGAUUACUGCUUUCACACAAAGCCAGCAGGACUUCCUGCAGGAAGAAAACAACGGAAGGAGACUGAAGAUCAACAACCGUGUCGCUGGUAAACAGAUGAAAUCGUGAUUGGGGAAAGAGGAGGGAAAAGAUCAAGGUUUUAUUGCCGGGCCGUCCCACUGCUGUUGAGUACAAAUGCAGCAGAGUAGAGCUGAGACGGCAUUCCACCCCUCUGACGACUGAGCUCACACACACACGCACACACACAUGCCUACACAAACACACACACAGUUCCAUGCGCCCACGUCACACACUCAUCAUACCGCUCUCUUGAGGAAGCUCAGACUAGUAUAAGGAGAUGCUGGCGGCUGGCAGACAAACAGCAGCCUUCAGUAUAUACCGCUGAUCUAGGCGGACACAUCGCACCUUCAAUUCAAGAGAGUCCAACAUAUUCUCUCUGCUCUGAGGAGGAAGACAAGCCAAAGGAUAGCAGGGCUUUACCUGAUCCUUGC
Molecule: long non-coding RNA, 956 nt
Organism: Hippocampus comes (tiger tail seahorse)
Lineage: Eukaryota; Metazoa; Chordata; Actinopteri; Syngnathiformes; Syngnathidae
Exons: 3
Source: RefSeq, a predicted model, not a curated record